UCGAAUACAUUAGCAUGGAAUAAUAGAAUAGGACGUGUGGUUCUAUUUUGUUGGUUUCUAGGACCGCCGUAAUGAUUAAUAGGGACAGUCGGGGGCAUCAGUAUUCAAUCGUCAGAGGUGAAAUUCUUGGAUUGAUUGAAGACUAACUACUGCGAAAGCAUUUGCCAAGGAUGUUUUCAUUAAUCAGGAACGAAAGUUAGGGGAUCGAAGACGAUCAG
Molecule: ribosomal RNA, 218 nt
Filed under: Volutella consors
Lineage: Eukaryota; Fungi; Ascomycota; Sordariomycetes; Hypocreales; Nectriaceae
Description: partial small subunit ribosomal RNA
Rfam family: Eukaryotic small subunit ribosomal RNA
Source: RNAcentral